GACGAACGCUGGCGGCGUGCCUAAUACAUGCAAGUUGAGCGCUGAAGGUUGGUACUUGUACCGACUGGAUGAGCAGCGAACGGGUGAGUAACGCGUGGGGAAUCUGCCUUUGAGCGGGGGACAACAUUUGGAAACGAAUGCUAAUACCGCAUAAAAACUUUAAACACAAGUUUUAAGUUUGAAAGAUGCAAUUGCAUCACUCAAAGAUGAUCCCGCGUUGUAUUAGCUAGUUGGUGAGGUAAAGGCUCACCAAGGCGAUGAUACAUAGCCGACCUGAGAGGGUGAUCGGCCACAUUGGGACGGAGACACGGCCCAAACUCCUACGGGAGAGAGCAGUAGGGGAUCUUCGGCAAUGGACGAAAGUCGGACCGUGCAACGCCGCGUGAGUGAAGAAGGUUGUCGGGUCGUAAAACUCAGUUAGUAGAGAAGAACGUUGGUGAGAGUGGAAAGCGCAGAAAGUGACGGUAACUACACAGAAAGGGACGGCUAACUACGUG
RNAcentral lists this ribosomal RNA (497 nucleotides) under uncultured bacterium. Its description in RNAcentral is "partial 16S ribosomal RNA". It matches the Rfam family "Bacterial small subunit ribosomal RNA", at positions 28 to 507 of the family's 1533-position model. The record is from RNAcentral.